AUGGCAGAAUGCUUCAAUAAGGUGCUCAAGGGUGUACGUGCAUUACCCGUGACGGCAAUAGUUCAAUACACAUUUGACAAGAUGAAUGCAUACCUUUUAAAGUACUCAAUGGAGACGAAUAACUAGAUUGCUGGUGACAACAAGGAAAAGCACAAGUACAAUUUCUCACCAAAGGUUGAAGAAUGGUUGGAAUUUCAACCACGGAAGGCGGACUCCCAAGAAGCUGUACUAUAUGACAACAACGAUUGGAUGUAUGAAGUGAAAGAGCCUGGAGGAACCACAAAUGAUGGCCACCAACACGGAGGCUGGGUUUUCAAUUUGUCCCUAACACGGUGUGAUUGCACUUGCAUGAGGCCAGUUCUUCAUCUCCAAUGCUCGCACUUGUUAAAUGCAUCUUGUGUUAGGAAUGUGGACGUAAAUCACCCUCUUACUGUGCGGGAGUACGAGUACUCAAUCAUGACGGUAAAAAUUACAUGCACCACUGCAGGAUGCUGCUAA
Molecule: ribosomal RNA, 498 nt
Filed under: Triticum aestivum (bread wheat)
Lineage: Eukaryota; Viridiplantae; Streptophyta; Magnoliopsida; Poales; Poaceae
Description: partial small subunit ribosomal RNA
Source: RNAcentral